GUCGUCGUCUUCUAGCUCAUGGGCGAGGUAGGAGAGGAGCACGAUGUUGGCAAGGAGGUGGAGGAGGAAGAGUAAGAGGAAGCAGGAGAAGAAAGAGAGCAAGAAGAGACAAAAUAAGAAUAUUUUGGUCAGUUUUUAAAAAAUUCAGUCAGAAUCUAUAAAAAACGAAAAAAAGGUGAACCACUUUGCAAAAUUCUACUAAUAUUUUAUGUAAAUAAAUAUAGAUUUUUAUAUUAAAAUUAAAUUUUUAUUUAUGUUUCUGUUGUAUCCGUGCCCUAUUCUUUUGUCAAGUUGUUGUAUGCAAGUCAUGUCAUAUCUCGUGGUUCAUAUCAGUGUUUAUAUAAUAAAACUUGUUUUGCAUUAAAAUUGAAU
Molecule: long non-coding RNA, 372 nt
Filed under: Ananas comosus (pineapple)
Lineage: Eukaryota; Viridiplantae; Streptophyta; Magnoliopsida; Poales; Bromeliaceae
Description: long non-coding RNA (ACOM_LNC004808)
Source: RNAcentral